This 484-nucleotide ribosomal RNA is filed under the name uncultured bacterium. Its description in RNAcentral is "partial 16S ribosomal RNA". It matches the Rfam family "Bacterial small subunit ribosomal RNA", at positions 30 to 507 of the family's 1533-position model. The record is from RNAcentral.
AUUGAACGCUGGCGGCAGGCCUAACACAUGCAAGUCGAGCGGAUGAAGGGAGCUUGCUCCUGGAUUCAGCGGCGGACGGGUGAGUAAUGCCUAGGAAUCUGCCUGGUAGUGGGGGAUAACGUCCGGAAACGGGCGCUAAUACCGCAUACGUCCUGAGGGAGAAAGUGGGGGAUCUUCGGACCUCACGCUAUCAGAUGAGCCUAGGUCGGAUUAGCUAGUUGGUGGGGUAAAGGCCUACCAAGGCGACGAUCCGUAACUGGUCUGAGAGGAUGAUCAGUCACACUGGAACUAAGACACGGUCCAGGCUCCUACGGGAGGCAGCAGUGGGGAAUAUUGGACAAUGGGCGAAAGCCUGAUCCAGCCAUGCCGCGUGUGUGAAGAAGGUCUUCGGAUUGUAAAGCACUUUAAGUUGGGAGGAAGGGCAGUAAGUUAAUACCUUGCUGUUUUGACGUUACCAACAGAAUAGGCACCGGCUAACUUCGUG